GCCCGCGUGGUGGAAUGGUAGACACAAGCGACUUAAAAUCGCUUGCCCGAAAGGGCGUGCUGGUUCGACUCCAGCCGCGGGCA
This 83-nucleotide transfer RNA is filed under the name Acidobacteriota bacterium. RNAcentral's name for it is "Acidobacteria bacterium (wastewater metagenome) tRNA-Leu". It matches the Rfam family "tRNA". From Rfam's summary of the family: Transfer RNA (tRNA) molecules are approximately 80 nucleotides in length. Their secondary structure includes four short double-helical elements and three loops (D, anti-codon, and T loops). Lineage: Bacteria; Pseudomonadati; Acidobacteriota. The record is from RNAcentral.